ACGAACGCUGGCGGCGUGGCUAAGGCAUGCAAGUCGAACGGACCCCUGGAUGGGUAACUUGAAAGGGAGUCAGUGGCGAACGGGUGAGUAAUGAAUGGGUAACGUCCCCCGGACUCAGGGAUAGCGGCGGGCCGCAAGGUCCUUUGCGAAAGUGUCGGUAAUACCUGAUGAUCCCGCGUGAUCGCAUGAUCGUGCGGGCAAAGCUCCGGCGGUCUGGGUUCGGCCCAUUUCCUAUCAGCUUGUUGGUGAGGUAACGGCUCACCAAGGCUGCGACGGGUACCGGGUGUGAGAGCAUGACCCGGCACAUCGGAACUGAGACACGGUCCGGACACCUACGGGUGGCUGCAGCAACGAAUAUUCCGCAAUGGGCGAAAGCCUGACGGAGCGACGCCGCGUGCAGGAUGAAGUCCUUCGGGAUGUAAACUGCUGUCGGGGGUCAGAAAUCACUGAUCAGCCCCACAGGAAGCCAUGGCUAACUCUGU
This 482-nucleotide ribosomal RNA is filed under the name uncultured bacterium. Its description in RNAcentral is "bacterial SSU rRNA". It matches the Rfam family "Bacterial small subunit ribosomal RNA", at positions 29 to 506 of the family's 1533-position model. The record is from RNAcentral.